Molecule: unclassified non-coding RNA, 534 nt
Filed under: Hevea brasiliensis (rubber tree)
Lineage: Eukaryota; Viridiplantae; Streptophyta; Magnoliopsida; Malpighiales; Euphorbiaceae
Source: RNAcentral
GUUUACUGUUUAUAGUGCUUGUUAGAACGAGUCAAUCCCGCCUAGGAUUGGGUAACCCUAUUGCACAUUGAUCACUUCAUCAAUCAUCUAGGCUUCUUUAAUAUUUGAUCCUGAAAAGAGGAAAUGUUGAUUGUUGUUCAUCUUUAUAACCUUUGCUAUAUCAUGACCCAAGAUUAACGUUUGAACCAUAUGGUGAUGUUUAUUUGCAUAAAUAUAUAAAGAGCAUAUUUCAAAGCCAAAAUGACCCGCUUGUCUUCUCUUUUCUAUCUUCUAUCCUCCAUUUGAUAAGACAUGAUUACGUGCACUAGGGUUUAUUUAUUGGCGGUGGGAUCGCAAAUUUGCUUUAAUUGGAAAAUUGGCGGCGGCUGUCUUGCUUAUUGCUGGAGGGGUCAACAGAAUCGGAUCUUUUGGGCGAAACCACGAAGAAGAUUAUUCACCAUCUCUGUUAGUACCACGCCAUCAGAAAUUUUGUUCUCCGUUUUCUCCCAAGAGAUUAUCAUACAUCCUCCCGAUUCCAACAACCAAGGAAGUUGC